Molecule: ribosomal RNA, 1529 nt
Filed under: Neisseria gonorrhoeae
Lineage: Bacteria; Pseudomonadati; Pseudomonadota; Betaproteobacteria; Neisseriales; Neisseriaceae
Also listed under: 1 other name
Description: bacterial SSU rRNA
Rfam family: Bacterial small subunit ribosomal RNA
Source: RNAcentral
AGAGUUUGAUCCUGGCUCAGAUUGAACGCUGGCGGCAUGCUUUACACAUGCAAGUCGGACGGCAGCACAGGGAAGCUUGCUUCUCGGGUGGCGAGUGGCGAACGGGUGAGUAACAUAUCGGAACGUACCGGGUAGCGGGGGAUAACUGAUCGAAAGAUCAGCUAAUACCGCAUACGUCUUGAGAGGGAAAGCAGGGGACCUUCGGGCCUUGCGCUAUCCGAGCGGCCGAUAUCUGAUUAGCUGGUUGGCGGGGUAAAGGCCCACCAAGGCGACGAUCAGUAGCGGGUCUGAGAGGAUGAUCCGCCACACUGGGACUGAGACACGGCCCAGACUCCUACGGGAGGCAGCAGUGGGGAAUUUUGGACAAUGGGCGCAAGCCUGAUCCAGCCAUGCCGCGUGUCUGAAGAAGGCCUUCGGGUUGUAAAGGACUUUUGUCAGGGAAGAAAAGGCCGUUGCCAAUAUCGGCGGCCGAUGACGGUACCUGAAGAAUAAGCACCGGCUAACUACGUGCCAGCAGCCGCGGUAAUACGUAGGGUGCGAGCGUUAAUCGGAAUUACUGGGCGUAAAGCGGGCGCAGACGGUUACUUAAGCAGGAUGUGAAAUCCCCGGGCUCAACCCGGGAACUGCGUUCUGAACUGGGUGACUCGAGUGUGUCAGAGGGAGGUGGAAUUCCACGUGUAGCAGUGAAAUGCGUAGAGAUGUGGAGGAAUACCGAUGGCGAAGGCAGCCUCCUGGGAUAACACUGACGUUCAUGUCCGAAAGCGUGGGUAGCAAACAGGAUUAGAUACCCUGGUAGUCCACGCCCUAAACGAUGUCAAUUAGCUGUUGGGCAACUUGAUUGCUUGGUAGCGUAGCUAACGCGUGAAAUUGACCGCCUGGGGAGUACGGUCGCAAGAUUAAAACUCAAAGGAAUUGACGGGGACCCGCACAAGCGGUGGAUGAUGUGGAUUAAUUCGAUGCAACGCGAAGAACCUUACCUGGUUUUGACAUGUGCGGAAUCCUCCGGAGACGGAGGAGUGCCUUCGGGAGCCGUAACACAGGUGCUGCAUGGCUGUCGUCAGCUCGUGUCGUGAGAUGUUGGGUUAAGUCCCGCAACGAGCGCAACCCUUGUCAUUAGUUGCCAUCAUUCGGUUGGGCACUCUAAUGAGACUGCCGGUGACAAGCCGGAGGAAGGUGGGGAUGACGUCAAGUCCUCAUGGCCCUUAUGACCAGGGCUUCACACGUCAUACAAUGGUCGGUACAGAGGGUAGCCAAGCCGCGAGGCGGAGCCAAUCUCACAAAACCGAUCGUAGUCCGGAUUGCACUCUGCAACUCGAGUGCAUGAAGUCGGAAUCGCUAGUAAUCGCAGGUCAGCAUACUGCGGUGAAUACGUUCCCGGGUCUUGUACACACCGCCCGUCACACCAUGGGAGUGGGGGAUACCAGAAGUAGGUAGGGUAACCGCAAGGAGCCCGCUUACCACGGUAUGCUUCAUGACUGGGGUGAAGUCGUAACAAGGUAGCCGUAGGGGAACCUGCGGCUGGAUCACCU